RNAcentral lists this ribosomal RNA (292 nucleotides) under uncultured bacterium. RNAcentral's name for it is "partial 16S ribosomal RNA". It matches the Rfam family "Archaeal small subunit ribosomal RNA", at positions 455 to 746 of the family's 1478-position model. The record is from RNAcentral.
GUGUCAGCCGCCGCGGUACUACCGGCAGCCCGAGUGAUGGCCGAUCUUAUUGGGCCUAAAGCGUCCGUAGCUGGCCGCGCAAGUCCGUCGGGAAAUCCACCUGCCCAACAGGUGGGCGUCCGGCGGAAACUGUGUGGCUUGGAACCGGAAGGCUCAGAGGGUACGUCCGGGGUAGGAGUGAAAUCCCGUAAUCCCGGACGGACCACCGAUGGCGAAAGCACUCUGAGAAGACGGCUUCGACAGUGAGGGACGAAAGCUAGGGUCUCAAACCGGAUUAGAUACCCCGGUAUCC